Molecule: ribosomal RNA, 451 nt
Filed under: uncultured bacterium
Lineage: Bacteria
Description: partial 16S ribosomal RNA
Rfam family: Bacterial small subunit ribosomal RNA
Source: RNAcentral
GUGGGGAAUAUUGGACAAUGGGGGGAACCCUGAUCCAGCCAUGCCGCGUGUGUGAAGAAGGCCUUUUGGUUGUAAAGCACUUUAAGCGAGGAGGAGGCUACCGAGAUUAAUACUCUUGGAUAGUGGACGUUACUCGCAGAAUAAGCACCGGCUAACUCUGUGCCAGCAGCCGCGGUAAUACAGAGGGUGCGAGCGUUAAUCGGAUUUACUGGGCGUAAAGCGUGCGUAGGCGGCUUUUUAAGUCGGAUGUGAAAUCCCCGAGCUUAACUUGGGAAUUGCAUUCGAUACUGGGAAGCUAGAGUAUGGGAGAGGAUGGUAGAAUUCCAGGUGUAGCGGUGAAAUGCGUAGAGAUCUGGAGGAAUACCGAUGGCGAAGGCAGCCAUCUGGCCUAAUACUGACGCUGAGGUACGAAAGCAUGGGGAGCAAACAGGAUUAGAUACCCGGGUAGUCC